This 504-nucleotide ribosomal RNA is filed under the name Triticum aestivum (bread wheat). Its description in RNAcentral is "partial small subunit ribosomal RNA". Lineage: Eukaryota; Viridiplantae; Streptophyta; Magnoliopsida; Poales; Poaceae. The record is from RNAcentral.
AUGAGUCAUCCUGAUGGCAUCUAUAUCCCCGAUGGAAAGUUCUACUUAGGAGAUGCUGGCUAUGCAUGUUGUCCAGAUGUUCUUCCACGCUUCAAGAUAACCAGAUACCAUCUCAACGAGUUCGCUGGUCGGUAUCCUAGGACUCCACACGAACUAUUUAAUCUCAGACAUUCCAGCCUUAGAGUUACCAUUGAGAGGCCAUUUGGAGCUCAGAAGAACAGGUUUAAGAUCCUGGAUUAGAAACCAUUCCACACUUUCCCCACCCAGGUUAAGCUUGUUCUUGCUUGUCGCAUUCUACAUAACUGGAUAUGGCAAUGGGGUUGUGAUGAACUGGUGCCUGAGGAGGAAGAUGUGACGUCUAAUGAUGUUGUCAGCUCUAGCCAUGGUGUGGAGGCAUUUGACAACGAAGCCUGGAGAACAAAAGUAUGGAGUGGGAAUAGGGAAUGUGGGAUAAUAGAGGCCAGACAAGGAUCUGAAGAAGAAGAAGGAAAAGAGCAAGAGUAG